RNAcentral lists this ribosomal RNA (461 nucleotides) under uncultured bacterium. Its description in RNAcentral is "bacterial SSU rRNA". It matches the Rfam family "Bacterial small subunit ribosomal RNA", at positions 29 to 506 of the family's 1533-position model. The record is from RNAcentral.
ACGAACGUUGGCGGCGUGGAUUAGGCAUGCAAGUCGAACGAAUCCCCAGCAAUGGGGGGAAGUGGCGAAAGGGGCAGUAAGGCGUGGGUAACCUACCCCAAGGACCGGGAUAGCCAUUCUAACGAGUGGGUAAUACCGGGCGCGGUGAGCGGGAGGCAUCUUCUGCUCAUGGAAUGAAUUUCGCCUUGGGAGGGGCUCACGUAGUAUUAGCUAGUUGGUGAGGUAACGGCUCACCAAGGCUGAGAUGCUUAGCGGGUGUGAGAGCACGACCCGCGCCACUGGCACUGAGACACUGGCCAGACUCCUACGGGAGGCUGCAGUCGAGGAUCUUCGGCAAUGGGCGCAAGCCUGACCGAGCGACGCCGCGUGUGCGAUGAAGGCCUUCGGGUUGUAAAGCACUGUCGAGGGGAAGGAAGCCGUAAGGUUGACCGACCCUUGGAGGAAGCACGGGCUAAGUUCGU